Molecule: small nuclear RNA, 104 nt
Filed under: Saimiri boliviensis boliviensis (Bolivian squirrel monkey)
Lineage: Eukaryota; Metazoa; Chordata; Mammalia; Primates; Cebidae
Source: RNAcentral
AUGCUCGCUUCAGCACAUAUACUAAAAUUGGAACAAUGCAGAGAAGAUUAGCACGGUCCCCGCACAAGGAUGACAGGCAAAUCCGUUAAGUGUUCCAUAUUUUC